RNAcentral lists this long non-coding RNA (511 nucleotides) under Homo sapiens (human). RNAcentral describes it as "HSALNT0294532". The record is from RNAcentral. Lineage: Eukaryota; Metazoa; Chordata; Mammalia; Primates; Hominidae.
CGCCGAACGCUAUCAGGAGUGGCUAGCCGAUUGUCGAGCUCGGGAAACUGCGUGUUUACGUAGGCUAGUGCUAAACAUUUUGCAAGUGCUUCAUGAAUAUUUAUUGCAUGAAUAGUUGAAUGUGGCCUUGUGGAACUGGAAUGCAGAGCUCAUGAAGGAGAACAGCAGAAGAUAAUGGUGAAAGGCAACUGGCACAUUGUGAGCUGCCCUAUGGAGUGGAUUACAUGGCAAGGAACUGAGGGAGACCUCUGGGCAACAUCCAUUAAAGAACUGAGGCCCUUAGUCCAACAACCUGGAGGAAGUGAAACCUCCAGCAACCUGUGAGUGACUCUGGCAAAUUCUCCUCCAUCAACACUUGAGGUAUGACUGCAGCCCCAGCCAACAUCCCGACUGCAACAGGAGGGACCUUGAGCCACAGGCACCCAGUUAAAUUGCACCCACAUUGCUGACCCACAGAAACUGUGUGAUAUUUGUUUUAAGCCACUAAGUUUUGGGGUAAUUUGUUACAGCA